This 440-nucleotide ribosomal RNA is filed under the name uncultured bacterium. RNAcentral's name for it is "bacterial SSU rRNA". It matches the Rfam family "Bacterial small subunit ribosomal RNA", at positions 28 to 514 of the family's 1533-position model. The record is from RNAcentral.
GACGAACGCUGGCGGUGUGCUUCACACAUGCAAGUCGAACGAGGUAGCAAUACCUAGUGGCGGACGGGUGAGUAACGCGUGGGAAUCUGCCUUUAGAUGGGGGAUAACGGGUCGAAAGACUCGCUAAUACCGCAUAUGACGAAAGUUGAAAGGAGUAAUCCGUCUAAAGAUGAGCCCGCGUCCGAUUAGCUAGUUGGUAGAGUAAAAGCCUACCAAGGCGACGAUCGGUAGCUGGUCUGAGAGGAGUGAUCAGCCACAAUGGGACUAGAGACACGGCCCAUACUCCUACGGAGGCAGCAGUGGGAAUUUUACGCAAUGGCGAAAGCCUGACGUAGCGACACCGCGUGAGCGAGAAGCCCCUGGGUGUAAAGCUCUGUCAGCUGGAACGAAAAAAAUGACGGUACCAGCAGAGGAAGCAUCGGCUAACUACGUGCCAGCAG